RNAcentral lists this transfer RNA (73 nucleotides) under Marmota monax (woodchuck). RNAcentral describes it as "tRNA.Ser". It matches the Rfam family "tRNA". Rfam says of the family: Transfer RNA (tRNA) molecules are approximately 80 nucleotides in length. Their secondary structure includes four short double-helical elements and three loops (D, anti-codon, and T loops). Further hydrogen bonds mediate the characteristic L-shaped molecular structure. tRNAs have two regions of fundamental functional importance: the anti-codon, which is responsible for specific mRNA codon recognition, and the 3' end, to which the tRNAs corresponding amino acid is attached (by aminoacyl-tRNA synthetases). tRNAs cope with the degeneracy of the genetic code in two manners: having more than one tRNA (with a specific anti-codon) for a particular amino acid; and 'wobble' base-pairing, i.e. permitting non-standard base-pairing at the 3rd anti-codon position. Lineage: Eukaryota; Metazoa; Chordata; Mammalia; Rodentia; Sciuridae. The record is from RNAcentral.
UGGGGUGGUGGCUCAGUGGUAGAGCGCUUGUCUCGAAUGCAUGAGGCCCUGGGUUCGAUCCUCAGCACCACAG